Molecule: long non-coding RNA, 234 nt
Filed under: Coffea arabica (coffee)
Lineage: Eukaryota; Viridiplantae; Streptophyta; Magnoliopsida; Gentianales; Rubiaceae
Description: long non-coding RNA (CARA_LNC001581)
Source: RNAcentral
AUUACACUUUUCUACGCAUCACGAAGAUUUUCUUGAAUGAAUACAAUAAUAGAGCAAGCACAGCCUUGAGUUAUAAUAAUUACUAACAUGUUGUAAAUCCGAUAAUAAAUGCUCAGCUGCACCGUACGGGGUCAACUUGGAACUUUCAAGCAGCAGAAUUGAACAUGGAUACAUGAGACCUCAGGGUUGGCUCGGCUGGUGUUGGGGUUGCCUAGUUAGGUCCUGACGACACUG